UGGAGUAAAUCUAACGGUAAAAAACUUACAAGCACCAAGUGCUUGGUGCUUUUACAAGCAUCAUAGCUGGACUAUAUAUAUAUAUAUAUAUAUAUAUGCUAGGACUAUUAUACUCUUAUAAGUAUAGAUCCUUUUAUACUUAUAAGUUUUCGACCGUUGAAUGAAGGGAUAUGCGAUUAGGAUGAUAGUGGUCCCUGGUUAUGAUGAUGGCGGUCCAAUAGGAUUGAGUGAGUGGUUAGUUGAAUAGUAAAAUCCAACGGGUGAAAAUGAUCAAAGGUAGAUCUAAUGGCCGAAAAUUUAUCAGUAUAAAAUGGUCUAUAGUAUAGUAGCCGGGCUCUUUCUCUCUCUCUCUCUCUCUAUAUAUAUACUAGUGAAUUACCCGCGCGAUGCUGCGGAUACCCGCGCGAUGCUGCGGAUAUAAAAUUAUUUUUAUAAUAAAUUAUAUAUUUUUUANAUAUUUGAGAAAUGCAUAAGAUAUUUUGGCGGGUAUUACUUUUGAAUAUUUUACUAAAAAAAAUUUAAAAAUAUAAAAUUAUAUUUAAUUAAUAAUUUAGUUUUGUUUAGGUGGGUAUUAAAUCUUUUAGUAAUAUUUUACGUGAUUGGCCCAAGUAUUACGUGUAAGAAGAAAAUAUUUGAAAAACACGGAAAUAGGAGAUAACGGAUAUUUUAAUUUAUGACGCGUUUGAGAAAACGUGUGUGAGAAACAAAAUAUUUAAGGAACCCUGUAGAUAUGAUAUAACGGAUAUUUUAAGUUAUGACGGGAAUUACGUUUGAGAAAAUGCGUAGAUAUUUGUAAAAUGCGUAGAUAAGAGAUAACGGAUAUUGAGGGUAUUUUUGUCAGAAAAAGUGACAGAUACUUUUAUUUUUAAUCGUUGUAUGAGAUCCAAUGGUAAAAAUUUAAGAUCUAUAUUUGAGAAUAAAUUAUUAUUUGAAAAAUUAUUUGAAAUGAAUGGUUGCAAAUUACUGGACAUAAAAAUAUUAGUAGAAAAGAUAGAGGUAUUUUUGGAAAGAGAAAAAAUUUAAAACUCACGCUUUUAUAAGUAGUAUAGAUAGGUUUGUGUGAUUUUAAAAACAAGGUAGUUCCCUAGUAUCAAAAUCAAAAUUAUUUUUGAUGCUUGGGCUUUUGAAUCGACGAUUGGCUUCAUUAGUGUUGAUUUAGAGUAUUAGAAGUAUUUAAAAAAUAAAUUUUAUAAUUUUUCAAUAUUAUUUAUCUGGUAAUCGAAAUGGCUCAAAAUCAAUAAAUUUAAUCAAAAUUAUAGAAUAUAUAUAUAUAUAGAGUUUUGCUAGAAUACUAUCGGUAGUAAACGGCUCGGUUUACUACCGAUUUGUUUUCGAUGAUAGAGCUCCUAAAUUGAUGAUCGGCACCGUUAAACAUGAUCUAAACUAUUUAAACUAUCUGGAAAUCAAAUUUCACACAUUUUCGAUAUUGUGCUCUUGUCCAUCAAGUGAACAGAAAAAUGAAUGGCUGGAAAUGAAUAUCCUUCAAAAAGUGAUGAUACAAUUUUUAUAUUUGAGAUCUAGAGUCUAGAUCUUAUUUUAAAUAG
This 1544-nucleotide long non-coding RNA is filed under the name Ananas comosus (pineapple). RNAcentral's name for it is "long non-coding RNA (ACOM_LNC028695)". The record is from RNAcentral. Lineage: Eukaryota; Viridiplantae; Streptophyta; Magnoliopsida; Poales; Bromeliaceae.